This 301-nucleotide ribosomal RNA is filed under the name uncultured bacterium. RNAcentral describes it as "partial 16S ribosomal RNA". It matches the Rfam family "Bacterial small subunit ribosomal RNA", at positions 509 to 807 of the family's 1533-position model. The record is from RNAcentral.
CAGCAGCCGCGGUAAUACGUAGGGUGCAAGCGUUAAUCGGAAUUACUGGGCGUAAAGCGUGCGCAGGCGGUUAUAUAAGACAGAUGUGAAAUCCCCGGGCUCAACCUGGGAACUGCAUUUGUGACUGUAUAGCUAGAGUACGGCAGAGGGGGAUGGAAUUCCGCGUGUAGCGGUGAAAUGCGUAGAGAUCUGGAGGAAUACCGAUGGCGAAGGCAGCCAUCUGGCCUAAUACUGACGCUCAUGCACGAAAGCGUGGGGAGCAAACAGGAUUAGAUACCCGCGUAGUCCCUGUCUCUUAUAC